Molecule: ribosomal RNA, 435 nt
Filed under: uncultured Parachlamydia sp.
Lineage: Bacteria; Pseudomonadati; Chlamydiota; Chlamydiia; Parachlamydiales; Parachlamydiaceae
Description: bacterial SSU rRNA
Rfam family: Bacterial small subunit ribosomal RNA
Source: RNAcentral
UUCGAUGCAACGCGAAGAACCUUACCCAGGCUUGACAUGACAGAUGACCGCUCUAAGAAAUAGAGUUUUUCCGUUCGGACAUUGCACAGGUGCUGCAUGGCUGUCGUCAGCUCGUGCCGUGAGGUGUUGGGUUAAGUCCCGCAACGAGCGCAACCCUUAUCAUUAGUUGCCAACAGGUGAAGCUGGGAACUCUAAUGAGACUGCCUGGGUUAACCAGGAGGAAGGUGAGGAUGACGUCAAGUCCGCAUGGCCCUUAUGUCUGGGGCUACACACGUGCUACAAUGGUCGGUACAGAAGGCAGCGAAACCGCGAGGUGAAGCAAAUCCAACAAAGCCGAUCUCAGUUCAGAUUGUAGUCUGCAACUCGACUACACGAAGACGGAAUUGCUAGUAAUGGCGAGUCAGCAACAUCGCCGUGAAUACGUUCCCGGGUCUU